AAACAAUCUAAAAAGUAUUAAUAUAAUCGAUUAAUAUUAAAAUAUAAAAAUAAUUUUGUUUUAAAAUCAUCUUUCCUUAUAAAAUAUAAAAGAAUAAUUAAUAAAAUAAUUGAUAAAUUUAAGUGCCAGCAAUCGCGGUUAUACUUGUAAUCUAAUUAUAUUAAAUAACAUUAAAAUUAAUAAAUUUAUAUACCAAUUAAUUUAAGAUAAAAUUUCAUUACACAAAUAUAAAAAAAAAAAUUAAAAAAAAUUUUAAAUUUAAAAUAGGAUUAGAUACCCUAGUAUAUUAAAAAAUUUAGGGAGUAAAAAUUUUAAUCAAAACCCAAUUAUAAUGGCGGCAUUUCAUCUUAUUAGAGGAACCUGUUUUUUAAUCGACAAUCCACGUUAAUUUUAACUUUAAUUAAAAAUUUAUAUACCGCCAUCUAAAAAACUAAUUUUAUAAUAAUAUUUUUAAUAAAAAAUAAAAAGUUAGGUCAAGGUGUAAUCAAUAUUAAAGUAAAUAAUGGGUUACUUUAAAAUCAAUUUAAGGAUUAUUAUAUAAUAAUAUUUUAUAAAAAAGGAUUUAAAAGUAAUAUAUUAAUAAUAUUUUUAUAUGAUUCAGAUAAUAAAUGUGCACAUAUCGCCCGUCACCCUUAUCAAAAAUAAGGUAAGUCGUAACAUAGUUGAUAUUUUGGAAAAAGUAUCAAG
Molecule: non-coding RNA, 687 nt
Filed under: Wadicosa fidelis
Lineage: Eukaryota; Metazoa; Arthropoda; Arachnida; Araneae; Lycosidae
Source: RNAcentral